This 682-nucleotide ribosomal RNA is filed under the name Microbacterium esteraromaticum. RNAcentral describes it as "bacterial SSU rRNA". It matches the Rfam family "Bacterial small subunit ribosomal RNA", at positions 815 to 1491 of the family's 1533-position model. The record is from RNAcentral. Lineage: Bacteria; Bacillati; Actinomycetota; Actinomycetes; Micrococcales; Microbacteriaceae.
ACUAGUUGUGGGGUCCUUUCCACGGAUUCCGUGACGCAGCUAACGCAUUAAGUUCCCCGCCUGGGGAGUACGGCCGCAAGGCUAAAACUCAAAGGAAUUGACGGGGACCCGCACAAGCGGCGGAGCAUGCGGAUUAAUUCGAUGCAACGCGAAGAACCUUACCAAGGCUUGACAUACACGAGAACGGGCCAGAAAUGGUCAACUCUUUGGACACUCGUGAACAGGUGGUGCAUGGUUGUCGUCAGCUCGUGUCGUGAGAUGUUGGGUUAAGUCCCGCAACGAGCGCAACCCUCGUUCUAUGUUGCCAGCACGUAAUGGUGGGAACUCAUGGGAUACUGCCGGGGUCAACUCGGAGGAAGGUGGGGAUGACGUCAAAUCAUCAUGCCCCUUAUGUCUUGGGCUUCACGCAUGCUACAAUGGCCGGUACAAUGGGCUGCGAUACCGUAAGGUGGAGCGAAUCCCAAAAAGCCGGUCCCAGUUCGGAUUGAGGUCUGCAACUCGACCUCAUGAAGUCGGAGUCGCUAGUAAUCGCAGAUCAGCAACGCUGCGGUGAAUACGUUCCCGGGUCUUGUACACACCGCCCGUCAAGUCAUGAAAGUCGGUAACACCUGAAGCCGGUGGCCUAACCCCUUGUGGGAGGGAGCUGUCGAAGGUGGGAUCGGUAAUUAGGACUAAGUCGUAA